AGAGCGAACGCUGGCGGCGUGCUUAACACAUGCAAGUCGAACGCGCAGUUUCCUGUAGCAAUACAGGAAGCUGGCGCGUGGCGAACGGGUGCGUAACACGUGGAUAACCUUCCUUCAGGUGGGGAAUAACCCAGUGAAAAUUGGGCUAAUACCGCAUAACAUGACGAUGGCACAUGCCGUUGUCUUCAAAGCCGCAAGGCGCCAGAUGAGGGAUCCGCGGCCGAUUAGCUUGUUGGCGAGGUAAUGGCUCACCAAGGCAAUGAUCGGUAGCCGGACUGAGAGGUUGGCCGGCCACACUGGAACUGAGACACGGUCCAGACUCCUACGGGAGGCAGCAGUGGGGAAUCUUGCGCAAUGGACGAAAGUCUGACGCAGCAACGCCGCGUGGGGGAUGAAGCUUCUCGGAGUGUAAACCCCUUUCGACCCGGACGAAUGCCCGCAAGGGUUUGACGGUACGGGUAUAAGAAGCCCCGGCUAACUACGUGCCAGCAGCCGCGGUAAUACGUAGGGGGCCAGCGUUGCUCGGAAUUACUGGGCGUAAAGGGUUCGUAGGUGGUGCGGUAAGUUGGAAGUGAAAUCUCUGGGCUUAACCCAGAGGCUGCUUUCAAAACUGUCGCGCUCGAGUGCGAGAGAGGUCAGUGGAAUUGCAGGUGUAGCGGUGAAAUGCGUAGAUAUCUGCAGGAACACCCGUGGCGAAGGCGGCUGACUGGAUCGCAACUGACACUGAGGAACGAAAGCUAGGGGAGCAAACAGGAUUAGAUACCCUGGUAGUCCUAGCCCUAAACCAUCGGAACUUGGGGUGGCCCGCGUAGGCGGGUCGUCCCGUAGCUAACGCGAUAAGCAUCCCGCCUGGGGAGUACGGUCGCAAGGCUGAA
This 875-nucleotide ribosomal RNA is filed under the name uncultured bacterium. RNAcentral describes it as "bacterial SSU rRNA". It matches the Rfam family "Bacterial small subunit ribosomal RNA", at positions 26 to 898 of the family's 1533-position model. The record is from RNAcentral.